This 253-nucleotide ribosomal RNA is filed under the name uncultured bacterium. RNAcentral's name for it is "partial 16S ribosomal RNA". It matches the Rfam family "Bacterial small subunit ribosomal RNA", at positions 524 to 776 of the family's 1533-position model. The record is from RNAcentral.
UACGUAGGGGGCAAGCGUUGUCCGGAAUCAUUGGGCGUAAAGCGCGCGUAGGCGGCCCGGUAAGUCCGUUGUGAAAGUCAAAGGCUCAACCUUUGAAUGCCGAUGGAUACUGCCGGGCUAGAGUCCGGAAGAGGCGAGUGGAAUUCCUGGUGUAGCGGUGGAAUGCGCAGAUAUCAGGAGGAACACCGAUAGCGAAGGCAGCUCACUGGGACGGUACUGACGCUGAGGCGCGAAAGCGUGGGGAGCGAACAGG